This is a non-coding RNA of Westerdykella ornata, 98 nucleotides long. The record is from the annotation of a RefSeq genome assembly. NCBI's taxonomy places the organism in Eukaryota, Fungi, Ascomycota, Dothideomycetes, Pleosporales, Sporormiaceae.
UCCUCCGUGGCGCAAUUGGCUAGCGCGUCUGACUGUUAUUCGAAUUACUUUGGAUCUCAAUAAUCAGGAGGUUGGUGGUUCGAGCCCACCCGGGGGAG